Molecule: transfer RNA, 76 nt
Filed under: Acidimicrobiia bacterium
Lineage: Bacteria; Bacillati; Actinomycetota; Acidimicrobiia
Description: tRNA-Glu
Rfam family: tRNA
About the family: Transfer RNA (tRNA) molecules are approximately 80 nucleotides in length. Their secondary structure includes four short double-helical elements and three loops (D, anti-codon, and T loops). Further hydrogen bonds mediate the characteristic L-shaped molecular structure. tRNAs have two regions of fundamental functional importance: the anti-codon, which is responsible for specific mRNA codon recognition, and the 3' end, to which the tRNAs corresponding amino acid is attached (by aminoacyl-tRNA synthetases). tRNAs cope with the degeneracy of the genetic code in two manners: having more than one tRNA (with a specific anti-codon) for a particular amino acid; and 'wobble' base-pairing, i.e. permitting non-standard base-pairing at the 3rd anti-codon position.
Source: RNAcentral
GCCCCCAUCGUCUAGUGGCCUAGGACACCGGCCUUUCACGCCGGCAGCACGGGUUCGAAUCCCGUUGGGGGUGCUA